Molecule: ribosomal RNA, 301 nt
Filed under: uncultured bacterium
Lineage: Bacteria
Description: partial 16S ribosomal RNA
Rfam family: Bacterial small subunit ribosomal RNA
Source: RNAcentral
CAGCCGCCACGGGAAAACGUAGGGUGCAAGCGUUAAUCGGAAUUACUGGGCGUAAAGCGUGCGCAGGCGGUUAUAUAAGUCAGAUGUGAAAUCCCCGGGCUCAACCUGGGAACUGCAUUUGAGGCUGUAUGGCUAGAGUGUGUCAGAGGGGGGUAGAAUUCCACGUGUAGCAGUGAAAUGCGUAGAUAUGUGGAGGAAUACCGAUGGCGAAGGCAGCCCCCUGGGAUAACACUGACGCUCAUGCACGAAAGCGUGGGGAGCAAACAGGAUUAGAUACCCCAGUAGUCCCUGUCUCUUUACA